Molecule: ribosomal RNA, 429 nt
Filed under: Chloroflexota bacterium
Lineage: Bacteria; Bacillati; Chloroflexota
Description: Chloroflexi bacterium partial 16S ribosomal RNA
Rfam family: Bacterial small subunit ribosomal RNA
Source: RNAcentral
UGGGGAAUAUUGCACAAUGGGCGCAAGCCUGAUGCAGCCAUGCCGCGUGUGUGAAGAAGGCCUUCGGGUUGUAAAGCACUUUCAGCGGGGAGGAAGGCGAUAAGGUUAAUAACCUUGUCGAUUGACGUUACCCGCAGAAGAAGCACCGGCUAACUCCGUGCCAGCAGCCGCGGUAAUACGGAGGGUGCAAGCGUUAAUCGGAAUUACUGGGCGUAAAGCGCACGCAGGCGGUCUGUCAAGUCGGAUGUGAAAUCCCCGGGCUCAACCUGGGAACUGCAUUCGAAACUGGCAGGCUAGAGUCUUGUAGAGGGGGGUAGAAUUCCAGGUGUAGCGGUGAAAUGCGUAGAGAUCUGGUGGAAUACCGGUGGCGAAGGCGGCCCCAUGGACAAAGACUGACGCUCAGGUGCGAAAGCGUGGGGAGCAAACAGG